AACCGUGUUUAGGAAAUGUCAACUCUCUCCAUUGAUGGGAACUCUAGUGAAAAUCCAGUGAUUAGUCAUGAAAAGUCUGAGGAAACAAUGAUAGGUUGCGAUUCUACAGGUAUUACUCCUCUUUCUGUUGAAAUUUCCAUGAAAACACAAGAAAAUAAGGGAAUAGAAAAUAUGCUCUCUAUUGCUUUAGAAGGGGUUGUUGCAGAGGAAAAUGUAUGAGGGUUUGAGUCUCAG
Molecule: long non-coding RNA, 234 nt
Filed under: Nicotiana benthamiana
Lineage: Eukaryota; Viridiplantae; Streptophyta; Magnoliopsida; Solanales; Solanaceae
Description: long non-coding RNA (NBEN_LNC003695)
Source: RNAcentral